Molecule: unclassified non-coding RNA, 348 nt
Filed under: fungal sp.
Lineage: Eukaryota; Fungi
Description: partial internal transcribed spacer region
Rfam family: Eukaryotic small subunit ribosomal RNA (bases 1-46)
Source: RNAcentral
AAGUCGUAACAAGGUUUCCGUAGGUGAACCUGCGGAAGGAUCAUUAACACAAUGAUAAGAGAAUUUUUUUUUGCAGGAGGAUCUCUUCUCCUCAAAGAAAGUCUCUAUUCUGUACACCCCCCCCUUUUGGAUGAAUUACUGAGAUUCUUUUUUUGGAAAAAAAAAAAGAUGGAAUCGGAGAGAAAAUCUUUGUUGAUCUCGUUCUUUUUUUUUUGCUAAAAAGAUUCUUAAUUAUCUCUUUUCUUUUUUUUAAACCCAACCCCAAUCUUUAUACUAUGCCAAUGUCUAAUAUCAAUAGUUGAGAAAACGCUUAAAAAACAACUCUUAACAACGGAUAUCUUGGCUCUC